GGAAGAGGCUCAGAAAUGCCGAUGGUCUUUCCGAACUUCGUUUCCGCCUGGAAAAGUGACGGGAUCUUUAUGGAUCAAUGGGGGAGAGCUCAGCGCACCCAAGCCCCUCAGCGACCGCUACCCUAGUCGAACGAACAAGCCCCUAUUCCGUCAUCUCUCGGUCUGGGCCCUUCUCCUACUCUCGCUCUUCGUCGGUUCCCUAGUUGCGGAGCCAGUCAAUUGAUUUCGCCUGCAGGCAUACUCUUAGAAGCGUCGGCUCUUUGGUUCUCGUUCGUUUCAAAACAAUACAUUUAUAUGAGAACCUUUCACGGGCAUUCCUUCCUUGUGUUGAUAUGAUCCCACGUCAGCAAGGCCGUGGGACGGAGUGUCAGCAACGAAAGGCAGCUGUUAGCUUGAUGCCAGAGGACGCGCAAAGAAUGGCGUCGCCCCGCGCGAAGUGGUAAGUGGGUAAGCCGGGCGCUAACACUUCCCUUUUCCCCUCCUUCGUUGGAAGUCGAAACCCGCUAAGGAGUGUGUAACAACUCACCUGCCGAAGCAACUAGCCCCGAAGAUGGAUGGCGCUCUAGUGCCGAGCCUAUACCAGGCCGCUGCCGGCAGAUCACGCAAACACGGGGGUGCUAAGCAACUGCGAGUAGGAGGGCCGCUGCGAUGAGCGUUGAAGGUGUCGGACGUGAGCCCGCCUGAAGCCGUCGCUCGUGCAGACC
This 704-nucleotide non-coding RNA is filed under the name Ixodes scapularis (black-legged tick). RNAcentral's name for it is "Eukaryotic large subunit ribosomal RNA". It matches the Rfam family "Eukaryotic large subunit ribosomal RNA", at positions 1256 to 1450 of the family's 3401-position model. The record is from Rfam by way of RNAcentral. Lineage: Eukaryota; Metazoa; Arthropoda; Arachnida; Ixodida; Ixodidae.